AGAGUUUUUAUGGAAACUUAUUUUUUAACAAUUUUUUACCGAAAAUGCUCCUGAAUUUGAAUUUUGCUUCUAGUUUUAUUUCUUUUUGGCAAAACUUCUUCAGUGCAACGCCCAAAGCAGUGAACAUCCCCAAGCCCGCUAGUAGUCUUCUCUCACGCCAUGGCCAUUAGGGAAAAUAAAAUUUAAAAAUUUAAAAAUAUACACUAGAAAAUGAAAUAAAUCAUGGGAGUGCUAUGAUAAAUAAAAUGAAAAUGAAAAUCACUAAAAAAAAGUACAUAUUCAGAAAACAAGAUCACGGAUACAUGGCAGAGUUAGAAUAACCUAACAAGUUUUCCGGAGGAAUUGCUAGCACACAAUUAACUACAAAGCAGAGGUAGACAGCGGUGCCUGCCCGGUGAGACAGAGUUUGACGACUGCGCUGUCCGGCGAGACACGAGGUCGACAGGAGGUAGACGAUGGCGGCUGGCUGGCGAGUCGGAGGUAAACGAUGGUGGCAGAAGGCUGUCCAGUACUCACACUACUGCUACAAUGAACACCCAACACAGACAAUAAACCUGCAGCCAGAAAAUCAACUUUACAUGGGACAAUCACUAAAAUUUAUUACUAAACAUUGAUUAUAGUGCCCUAACGACGAACUAAACUGAAUCAUCAAUUGCAUAGAAAAUAAAGAAAAAUAGAGCUGGCUACCGCAUGAUAUCCCUGGUGCAGAACUAUUGCAACUGCACUAAAUCAAUCCUAAGUACACUUAAUUUUAUGUGAUGUGCAGGAAAGCAUGGUUGAUUAAGAGAGAAAAUCAUGGUGGAAAUGAUAAAAUCAGUAUUAUGGCAUCCUUUGCUCUGUCGGUUGUACAAUUGUGUAAAAUUUCCUUGAUGACUACCGUCAUGUAUACAAAGAUAGAAGAAAAGGUCAAUACUAAAUCUGGUAGACUUGAUUCCACAGAAAAAGGAUCUGCUAGACUAAACACAGCGAGUUUAAACUAUAGAGUGCUGAAAACAGAGUACCUGAUGCUCACUGUUUGAACCGGUGGCUGCCUUAAUAAUUGACGUUAUUUUUGCUGCCGUAGGGAAUACACAAACUCAGACGACAACCGUGGACUAUGAACAUCUCGCUUUCUCCUACACGAAAGUCCUGCAUGCAUUGGAGAAGAUUUCGAUGAGACACUUCAGUUUUAUAGAAAAUAGUAAGAGUUUCACUUGCUUUGGCAAAUAACAUGAACUGUGGCCAAGCAGAUUUGUCAUGGCAAAGUAAGGACUUGGAAGUCAAACAAAUUAGCCUUGGUUUUAUGUAGUACUCCCUCCGUUCCUAAAUAUAAGUCUUUCUAGAGAUUGCACCAAGUGACUACAUACAGAGCAAAAUGAAUGAAUCUACACUUUAAAAUAUGUCUACAUACAUCCGUAUGUUGUAUUCCAUUUGAAAUGUCUAAAAAGACUUAUAUUUAGGAACGGAGAGAGUACAUCUUAAUGCAAGAAUAGUAAUAGCAUGUGAGUACCAUGGAAAUGUAGUCUCCAUUUUUGCACUAAGAAGACUGAUACUACAGAUUAUGAAUUUAUUAGACACAAAACAAGUGCAUAGUGUCUUCUAGAAUUGUUAGGCCACUCCAGCUAUACAAUCUCUAAGCAGCAUAUAACACACUCUUCAUAGUUAUGAAAACAUUAUCAUAGCAACUACUCCCUCCGUCCCAUAAUGUAAGACCAUUUUUGACACUACACUAGUGUCAAAAAACACCUUACAUCAUGGGACGGAGGGAGUAAUAUUUAACUACUCUUCAGAAAUUGCAGAAUCUCUGUAGUUUAUCAUAUGUCUGAAUUUUGAUCCUCUCCACUACCUAUGCUUAGUGGGAUUUAUUACCAGUAUUCUCUGUAGUUUAUAAGCAGCAAAUGCCACUGGGGAAUGCUACAUGUUGUAAAAAAUUUGUGAACUCUGAACCUGUGUCUCUUCUAAACUUCAAAACAAACACAUGCAACUGAACUAUGAAACUGUUAUUAGCACUAGUUAAGUUGUUCCAAGCCAUAGUUUACAUGUAUGACCUGAACUUGUAUGUGUAUGCUGCAGCAAGAUUUCAGUUGUUCGAACAUGCUGUUACAAGUAAUCCAAAAUUCAAGAUUUCAUUACUGAAUAAAGGCUUGACAGUUAACAGAAUUUAUACAUGUAUGGCCUGAACUUGUGUACGUGUAUGAUACAGGAGUAUGACCAUAAGCUUACAUAGUUAACUGUUGAUUCUGGAAACUUUAAGGCUGCAAUUUCUACUUGUAUGUUUGUGUGACAAACCAAAUGAUUCUUUGCUGAAAAAAAUUCAUAUCAUAUCCCUUUUUCUUUAGAGUUUUGUGUUGAUGAUUCGUGCAUGUAAAAACGUGGCAGCAGCAGCGUGCUAACAGUCAGCAGCAGCAGCAUCAUUGCAGGCAUCGAGGACGCGGGCCAGCCGCUAAUCAUGCGAUUAGUGACUGCGGAAGUUACGCAAUCUAGCGAACGCACUGCUGGCGUAUCCACUACCAAUCUGAACUCUAACUGCUAACUGAAUUUUAUUUCAAGGUGCUGCAAUGUGCAGUUGCUCCAUGUCUCCACCGCCAGCACAAGGCGUGAGGAGGGAAGGAUGGGAGGAAGAGAUGAGGGCAGGGGAAGAGAUACCUCUGUUCUACGACCAAGUGCAGCCGGGAUCUCCAAUACCUCGCGGCGGCGGCGGCCCCUCCAGAACCUCACGCGGCGUCGGUGGGGACGUAUGUGGGGGAGCGGCCACUACGACCAAGACCAGCCGGGGCUUCGCCUCCUGGAUCUCGCGUCGGCGUCUUCGCCUGCAGGUCCUCGCGCCGACGUAGGUCCUCACUCCUGCGCCGCCGUCUCCCAGGUCCUCGCGCCGGCUCCUCCCUCUCGCGAGAUGGGUUAGCCAGAUGCGGGGGUUUG
RNAcentral lists this long non-coding RNA (2898 nucleotides) under Triticum aestivum (bread wheat). RNAcentral describes it as "long non-coding RNA (TAES_LNC018442)". Lineage: Eukaryota; Viridiplantae; Streptophyta; Magnoliopsida; Poales; Poaceae. The record is from RNAcentral.